Molecule: long non-coding RNA, 300 nt
Organism: Scleropages formosus (Asian bonytongue)
Lineage: Eukaryota; Metazoa; Chordata; Actinopteri; Osteoglossiformes; Osteoglossidae
Exons: 4
Source: RefSeq, a predicted model, not a curated record
GUGGGGCUUUCUGGUUCUGUCCUAUUCUUCGUCACCCUAGUGGUUCUGUAUGCUGUUUGCAAAAAACCAUGCAGGAAAUCAGACCGAAAGAAGAGAAAUAAGACUGAUGAGAAGUUUUAUAUGGUCAAUAUGGAUUACAUAACUGCAGAUGACAUUGAACCAUCUAUGGGCAUUUAUGAGGAAAUUGAAGAAGGCAUCGAAAGUCAAGGGGCUGCAGCUGUCUCAUUUUACUAUAAUCUUCACCCAAAACCUUAAGCUAAGGUAAAACUAUUCUUAGUUACUUCAGUCAUCUUUCCUUCA